RNAcentral lists this long non-coding RNA (309 nucleotides) under Nicotiana benthamiana. Its description in RNAcentral is "long non-coding RNA (NBEN_LNC020351)". The record is from RNAcentral. Lineage: Eukaryota; Viridiplantae; Streptophyta; Magnoliopsida; Solanales; Solanaceae.
CUCUUUCUCUUUUUUCCGUGGAGUAAAUUCUUCUCUCGUUAUUCUCUCAAGUGCCACAAGGAAUAUUAUCAAUAUUUUCUUGAAGGAAUAAGCUCUUCCUACACAAAUUAUUUUCUCCAAGAUGAUGUGGGAGGGAAUUUUUUUUUCAUCUUUCUUGUAAAUUAUGUUUAAAUAUUUACUUAUUAUGCUACUUGUAGAAUUAUAAAGCAUGAGAGCAAACCGUAAUUGAUGGAAGAGUAAAUUCCAGAGAUGCCUACCAAAAUAUUGAGACCACCCGCUAUGCGACUGAUAAGAGCAUAUGAGAGGAUU